This 510-nucleotide ribosomal RNA is filed under the name uncultured bacterium. RNAcentral describes it as "partial 16S ribosomal RNA". It matches the Rfam family "Bacterial small subunit ribosomal RNA", at positions 28 to 507 of the family's 1533-position model. The record is from RNAcentral.
GACGAACGCUGGCGGCGUGCUUAACACAUGCAAGUCGAACGAAGAGCGAUGGAAGCUUGCUUCUAUCACUCUUAGUGGCGAACGGGUGAGUAACGCGUAAUCAACCUGCCCUUCAGAGGGGGACAACAGUUGGAAACGACUGCUAAUACCGCAUACGAUCUAAUCUCGGCAUCGAGGAUAGAUGAAAGGUGGCCUCUACAUGUAAGCUAUCACUGAAGGAGGGGAUUGCGUCUGAUUAGCUAGUUGGAGGGGUAACGGCCCACCAAGGCGAUGAUCAGUAGCCGGUCUGAGAGGAUGAACGGCCACAUUGGGACUGAGACACGGCCCAGACUCCUACGGGAGGCAGCAGUGGGGAAUCUUCCGCAAUGGACGAAAGUCUCACGGAGCAACGCCGCGUGAGCGAUGACGGCCUUCGGGUUGUAAAGCUCUGUUAAUCGGGACGAAAGGCCUUCUUGCGAAUAGUGAGAAGGAUUGACGGUACCGGAAGAGAAAGCCACGGCUAACUACGUG